UUUUGAAUUUGGCUCAGGAUGAACGCUGGCGGGGGGCUUAACACAUGCAAGUCGAACGGUGAAGCAGAGCUUGCUCUGUGGAUCAGUGGCGAACGGGUGAGUAACACGUGAGCAACCUGCCCCUGACUCUGGGAUAAGCGCUGGAAACGGCGUCUAAUACUGGAUACGAACAAGAAUCGCAUGGUUACUUGUUGGAAAGAUUUUUUGGUUGGGGAUGGGCUCGCGGCCUAUCAGCUUGUUGGUGAGGUAAUGGCUCACCAAGGCGUCGACGGGUAGCCGGCCUGAGAGGGUGACCGGCCACACUGGGACUGAGACACGGCCCAGACUCCUACGGGAGGCAGCAGUGGGGAAUAUUGCACAAUGGGCGGAAGCCUGAUGCAGCAACGCCGCGUGAGGGAUGACGGCCUUCGGGUUGUAAACCUCUUUUAGCAGGGAAGAAGCGAAAGUGACGGUACCUGCAGAAAAAGCGCCGGCUAACUACGUGCCAGCAGCCGCGGUAAUACGUAGGGCGCAAGCGUUAUCCGGAAUUAUUGGGCGUAAAGAGCUCGUAGGCGGUUUGUCGCGUCUGCUGUGAAAUCCCGAGGCUCAACCUCGGGCCUGCAGUGGGUACGGGCAGACUAGAGUGCGGUAGGGGAGAUUGGAAUUCCUGGUGUAGCGGUGGAAUGCGCAGAUAUCAGGAGGAACACCGAUGGCGAAGGCAGAUCUCUGGGCCGUAACUGACGCUGAGGAGCGAAAGGGUGGGGAGCAAACAGGCUUAGAUACCCUGGUAGUCCACCCCGUAAACGUUGGGAACUAGUUGUGGGGUCCAUUCCACGGAUUCCGUGACGCAGCUAACGCAUUAAGUUCCCCCGCCUGGGGAGUACGGCCGCAAGGCUAAAACUCAAAG
Molecule: ribosomal RNA, 886 nt
Filed under: Microbacterium sp. RI05
Lineage: Bacteria; Bacillati; Actinomycetota; Actinomycetes; Micrococcales; Microbacteriaceae
Description: bacterial SSU rRNA
Rfam family: Bacterial small subunit ribosomal RNA
Source: RNAcentral